This is a non-coding RNA of Podarcis lilfordi (Lilford's wall lizard), 72 nucleotides long. The record is from the annotation of a GenBank genome assembly. NCBI's taxonomy places the organism in Eukaryota, Metazoa, Chordata, Lepidosauria, Squamata, Lacertidae.
CCACCAAAUAGCUCAAUUGGCUAGAGCGUGGUGCUCAUAGCGGCAAUGUUACAGGUUCGAUCCUGGUGUGGG